GCUCCGCCUCGCUCCCGGCCCCCCUGGAACCGCAGGCAUUCCAGACGGAACAGCUUUGAUGUCUGUCUCCCCUUUGCGCGCCUGCCUCCUGCGAAGUCCAGCCCGGUGCCAAGGACGUUCCAUCUCCAUGGCUUUGCUCAGGUGUCCAUCUUCAUCCCCAGCAUCCCUUCCUGUGCGAGCGACCUCUCCAUCCCUGGGCUUGCAACGGCCCCAAACUAGUGGCUCUGGGAGAGCCUCAGCCUCAGGGUGGUCCCCACCCUCACCCCCCACUCAAAUCCACCUGCCGGCAGCAGCCGUCCGUACCUCUGCUUGCAGUAAACAUGACCUUUGCCUUCAUCUGCUGACAUGACAUUGAAAAGUGGCAAGAGGAAAACAGAGUGGGAGAAAGGCAAUUUACAACCCCACCUCUGAUUAGUUAUGAGAAAUCAUGAAAAUAAAGCAAG
This is a long non-coding RNA of Antechinus flavipes (yellow-footed antechinus), 443 nucleotides long. RefSeq lists it as uncharacterized. The transcript is spliced from 3 exons. The record is from RefSeq and is a predicted model, not a curated record. Lineage: Eukaryota; Metazoa; Chordata; Mammalia; Dasyuromorphia; Dasyuridae.